UUUUUUUUGAGAAAAAAAAAAAAAAAUUAAUUAUUUACAUUGAUUUCUACCAGUAUCGACAGAGUACAAUACAAUGUAAUCAUUCAUCAAGCCAGUCCAGAUUGAAUUGUUCCUCUGCAACCUGGACAUGAAGAUUAUUCUUCCUCACUUCCUUCCACAACCACGAAACCUCUUCAUCACAAAUUACACUGCGCAAAGAUUCUAAAGACUCGACUGAAG
Molecule: unclassified non-coding RNA, 219 nt
Filed under: Hevea brasiliensis (rubber tree)
Lineage: Eukaryota; Viridiplantae; Streptophyta; Magnoliopsida; Malpighiales; Euphorbiaceae
Source: RNAcentral